GACGAACGCUGGCGGCGUGCCUAAUACAUGCAAGUAGAACGCACAGUUUAUACCGUAGCUUGCUACACCAUAGACUGUGAGUUGCGAACGGGUGAGUAACGCGUAGGUAACCUGCCUGGUAGCGGGGGAUAACUAUUGGAAACGAUAGCUAAUACCGCAUAAUAUUAAUUAUUGCAUGAUAAUUAAUUGAAAGGUGCAAUUGCACCACUACCAGAUGGACCUGCGUUGUAUUAGCUAGUAGGUGAGGUAACGGCUCACCUAGGCGACGAUACAUAGCCGACCUGAGAGGGUGAUCGGCCACACUGGGACUGAGACACGGCCCAGACUCCUACGGGAGGCAGCAGUAGGGAAUCUUCGGCAAUGGACGAAAGUCUGACCGAGCAACGCCGCGGGAGUGAAGAAGGUUUUCGGAUCGUAAAGCUCUGUUGUAAGAGAAGAACGGGUGUGAGAGUGGAAAGUUCACACUGUGACGGUAUCUUACCAGAAGGGGACGGCUAACUACGUG
Molecule: ribosomal RNA, 505 nt
Filed under: uncultured bacterium
Lineage: Bacteria
Description: partial 16S ribosomal RNA
Rfam family: Bacterial small subunit ribosomal RNA
Source: RNAcentral